GGGUCCUUAGCUCAGCGGUUUAGAGCGCUCGCCUCACACGCGAGAGGUCGCAGGUUCGAAUCCCGCAGGACCCA
This 74-nucleotide transfer RNA is filed under the name Rhodothermaceae bacterium. RNAcentral's name for it is "tRNA-Val". It matches the Rfam family "tRNA". From Rfam's summary of the family: Transfer RNA (tRNA) molecules are approximately 80 nucleotides in length. Lineage: Bacteria; Pseudomonadati; Rhodothermota; Rhodothermia; Rhodothermales; Rhodothermaceae. RNAcentral also lists the same sequence under 1 other name. The record is from RNAcentral.